GUGCUCAUUUUGGCAGCACAUACACCGAAAUUGGCAUGAUACAGAGACAAUAUGGCCUCUGUGUAAAGAUGACAUGGAAAUGCAUGAAGCGUUUUCUAUUUUU
Molecule: small nuclear RNA, 103 nt
Organism: Cavia aperea (Brazilian guinea pig)
Lineage: Eukaryota; Metazoa; Chordata; Mammalia; Rodentia; Caviidae
Source: Ensembl